Molecule: ribosomal RNA, 253 nt
Filed under: uncultured bacterium
Lineage: Bacteria
Description: partial 16S ribosomal RNA
Rfam family: Bacterial small subunit ribosomal RNA
Source: RNAcentral
UACGUAGGGGGCAAGCGUUGUCCGGAUUUAUUGGGCGUAAAGAGCGUGUAGGCGGCCAGAUAGGUCUGUUGUGAAAACUCGAGGCUCAACCUCGAGACGCCGAUGGAAACCAUUUGGCUAGAGUCCGGAAGAGGAGAGUGGAAUUCCUGGUGUAGCGGUGAAAUGCGCAGAUAUCAGGAAGAACACCCGUGGCGAAGGCGGCUCUCUGGGACGGUACUGACGCUGAGACGCGAAAGCGUGGGGAGCGAACAGG